This 2916-nucleotide long non-coding RNA is filed under the name Mytilus galloprovincialis (Mediterranean mussel). The record is from RNAcentral. Lineage: Eukaryota; Metazoa; Mollusca; Bivalvia; Mytilida; Mytilidae.
UUUAGAAAUGUCUAAGAUAUGAGUAUUCUUCUAAAUGGUCUUUCUUUUUUUAUUUCAAUUAUUGAUAUACUUUUUUGUCUCCUUUACACAAACACACUGUUCAAAGUCAUGUUUGCUUUCUAAAAUACUGAUACCAAAGAAAACAAUACUUAUUCUAACAACAACUAUUUAUGUAAUUGUACAAUACACUGCAAUAAUAAUGUUUAUAAUACACAUAAAUACAAAAUGAUAGGAAUGAGCUCAAGAUAUUUAACAGAAAAAGCUCCUCAUCAUUACAAUAUGAUUAUUUCAAAAUUUACUAUCAGACACAAACCUCAACAAAGCCCAAAUGAAAAGUAAGGAAAAAAAUCACAGUGAAUAUCACAGAUUAUUUCAAAUGUGUUUGAUGAUUUUUUUUUCUCAUUGACUUUUUUCUAUAUACAUCUGGUUACAGCUUUUCUGCUACCUUUACUUUGGUGCAUAUCUACAGUGUAUUGUAUUUUUAACUAUAAACUUUUCUUGCAAAUAUUAAGUCUUACAAAAUCUUAUGACUUUAAAAUUUAAAAAAAAAAAUAUUUACAUUGAAAAAGGUUAAUAAUAAAAAAAGAUUAUUUAAACAUAUUAUUUUCAUUUUAUAUAAUCAAGUAUUACUUUUGUGCACAUGGCAAUUAUAUCAUAUCAUAAAUUAGGUUUGUUUAUUGUUCAAUAUUUAUGGUUAAAAAUUAAUCGAAGUAUCCCCUGGAAUAGUCUGAGAAAUUAACUAAGUAUGUGUUCCUACAGUUACCUCUACUUACUGCUAAUUCAAAAUUGGAAGGUAAAACACAUACCUUCGUGUCUGGCUUUUCCCCCUAUUAUUGUACUAGUAAAUGUGGUUAUUUUCAUAUUUUUUUAUUUUACUGAUUUCAAAUAAAUAAUCUUGUGUUAAAUCAUGUACAUUGUACAUGUACAAUAAUUAGGUGUGCCUAUCACAUCAAUGGUAAACUGUACAAACUUUUGAAGUAUAUUUUUCACAUUUAACAUGAUAAAAAAUAAGCAAAAGUGAUCUCUUAAAGUUGUUUGCUACAUUUAGAUGUUGCAUUAUUAAUCCAGGUACAAUUUUUAAAUUUAAAAACUGCAUAAACUUCUGAAAGUAGUUAUCUUUUAUAUAUAUAUAUAUAAAAAAAUCUGGGAUGGAAAUGUAUAAGGAAACAAUUCUAUACAUAUCAAAUGGUGACAUAAAAUAAUUCACAAACAGAUAAAUAAAUAUUAUUACCGUAUGUAUUUAUUAGACAGCAAUGUUGUUACACUUUUCUAUACCAUAAAAAGUUAUUUUGCCGCAUAUUGGGUUGACAAUUGGUGAUUUAAAACACUUUAUUGUCAAGACCACUUUUAAGAGAUUUUUCUACAUUUUGCAUUUUUAUCUCAAAAUAUACAAUGAAAGCCAAUACCUAUAAAUAUAUGACAAUACCUUAUAUGCAAUAAAGGUCAGUAACUUAUUUUUGACAUACCGCUAUAAAAACACAUUUAAAGUGACACAGAACAUUUGACAUGUAAUUUUUUUUAAAUGCACAUCUAUCACAGCUUUGAAAUACAUCGCAUGAAUACAAUUUUUAAAUAUGAAUAUUGGCAAAAAAAAUUAUGGAAAUAACCCAAAUUCCCAAAAUUGAACCCUAUUUUUCUCUGCCUCAUUUAGAUCUAAAACAAAUCUCAAAAUCAUGAAAAUAAUAAAAGAAUGGAAAACUACCUAGUCUCCCAAUAAAAUGAGAUUUAAUGUGAAAAUAUGAAAGAAAUAUGACCAAAAUCUUGAACUGGAUCUUAUCUAUUGUUUAUAUGAUAAAUGAAAACAAGUCUUACAGCUAGAUUGUAUUGAGUGUGUAGCAAAUGGUAAUAUCUUAGGUUAACUUACUUCCCAGCUGAAUUGUGAAGUCAUCAUUAGGUAAGGUAUACAACCCUCCUUUCAAAGAAGUCUAUUCCUACAGACAGAUAGAUAGGUUAUCUGUCGGACUAGUCUACUCUUAAAUGAGGGCAGUUUACCCAACCUAAUACCGACUUCACGGCUCAGCUGGCAACCAAGCUAACCAAAUAUAUUACCUUUGCCUACACACUUUAAGCAAUCAGCUGUAACACUCCUAUCCAAUUUGAUUCAGUUUAUGCCUUUUCUAAAACGUAAUGAAUCUUGACUCUGAUGAAAUUGAAAUGCAAGUGAAAUACUAAUGAUUUAAUAUGCUAGAGAUGUUAUUUGCAAUUUUUACUAAAAAUCUUAUUAAAACAUGUAGAAUUAAUGAGCAUGUGUUAUUAUAUAAUGAAACCAGUAAUAUAAUCCAGUUACUGUCCUGAGCAGUUUAUUUCAAUCUAUUUCUUGUUAUUUUUUGAACUUUUAUUUGCAAUUAUGUAUAAUUUUGACUUACUUCUCUGCUGAGUGCAGAAUUUUUAAAAUGUAUAUUAAGUUUUUUGUUAAACUAUAAUGUUUUUUUACCAACGAAAAAUUAUUAAGAAAAGUAAUAGGUACCUUUUUGGCUGGUGAUAUCCUAGAUGGGAUAAACUUCCACCAGCAACAUAUUUCCUUUUUGGGUCAAAACCUUAAAAUAUAGUUUUAUUUUCAAGUUUUGGAAGGGAAAUUCCGAAUUGGCAAUCAUAGUGAAUAAAGAGUCUAAAGCACCUUCCCUGAGCAAGGUUUCAUCUAACAACCUCAGUGUUUAUAGGCUAAAGACUAAUGAAGAUCACUGAAGUUGAACUACUUGUAUCACUUUGCCUUAACGGUCCCUCCUUUUUAUGCAGCACAACAAAAGGAAAAGACAUUAAUUGUAUAUCCAUAAAACAGAGUUAUAUAGAUAGCUAAUACAGUAAUAGAGGUAUGUAUAUAGCCAAUAGUUCUGUUUCAUUCAAAUAUAUCCCUCACUAGUUAAUGGUAAAAUAUUUGUUAUAACAUGUAUAACUGGUUAUUAGACACUAAAAUAG